This is a long non-coding RNA of Condylostylus longicornis, 658 nucleotides long. RefSeq lists it as uncharacterized. The record is from RefSeq and is a predicted model, not a curated record. Lineage: Eukaryota; Metazoa; Arthropoda; Insecta; Diptera; Dolichopodidae. The transcript has 3 exons.
GUAAAAAGUUAUAAUCAUACAUAAACAUUUAUAAAUUGUAUAGAGAACAAUAAUAAUUUAAAAAUUUAAUAAAAAGAAGUAACAAAAUUUAUUUAUAAAAUUUAUAUAAUUAAAAAAAAACAUCGCAUUCAUAAUUACAUAAUAACAUACAAUAAUAUAAAUGUCCUUGCAAAGGAGAAUCUGAAAUUAAAAACAAAAAUAAAAUAAUUUAAAAUUAAUUAUAAUAAUAAAAACUUGUAAAAGUUAAGUAAGAAAAAUAAUAAAGAUAGUAAAAUAUGUUGUACCUCAAUUGGAUUUUUUUAUCAAUAAUUUUUUCAUUCGGAUAUCAUCACAAUAAAUUAAUUGUUACGUCACUGAUUACAAGAAAUAUCGAAGAGGAAAAUGUGCGGAGAAAAUCAUCAACCAGAGGUAAGGACAUUUUUGGAAAAUUCAUUUAUAUUUUUAAAGUAAGUUAAUGUUAUCACGUUCUUUCUAAAAAACAAUACAGUUUUAUGAAAUAUGGGACGCAGAUAAGUUGUAAGUUAUUACUUAAUUGUAUUGGAAACAUUAUUUAAUUAAACCUACAGAAAUUACUAAACAAAAUCUACUGAUGUGGCAAUUGACUAGAGUCUAAAGCAACAUUGACCAUAAACUUUAGCAAAUCAUCAUAGCAAGUCUC